UGUUUGCAGGAUGGCUCGUCGGCGAACAACAUGCAGCGAUGUCCGGUCGCUCGGUUCGCGCUGCUCCCCUCGGCACCUGGUCUUUUCCUCCGAUCCUCGCGCGGUUUUACUAUUCCUGAUCUCCUUAAUUCCGCGCAUGGCGGCAUGGGCAUGGCUCCCCGUCGUCCUCUCCUUUGCGCCACCGUCACUGGUGGUCCACACACCUGCCGCUCGCCUCUCGCCUUUAACCCAUCACCGGCGAGGUCUUCACUAGCCUCGAUUUGCUCCCUGCUCCUCAACGCUUGUCCUCGGAGCGGCGAUGGCGAAGAUCCUGCUCCAUGGCUCGCUCCAUGUCACCAUCUUCGAGGCCGAGGAGCUAUCCAACACCAGCCGCCCCAGCAGCCAGGCGCCCGGCUUCCUCCGCAAGGUCCUCUGCAAAUCUGCAAUGCAAAUGCAAUAAUGCAAUUCGUGCCUGCUAAAACAUGGGAUCGAGGACACGGUGGGCGUGGGCAAGGGCACCGGCAAGAUGUACGCCACCAUUGGCCUGGACAAGGCCCGCGUGGGGCGCACCCGCACGCUCACCGACGAGACGGCCAGCCCGCGGUGGUUCGAGUCCUUCCACGUCUACUGCGCGCACCUCGCCUCCGACGUCGUCUUCACCAUCCGCGCCAAGAACCCCAUCGGCGCCUCCACCCUCGGCGUCGGCUACCUCCCCGUCCGCGACCUCUUCUCCGGCCAGGAGCUCGACCGCUGGCUGCCGCUCUGCGACGACGACGACGAUAAGAGGACGCCGCUCGAGGGCGGCGCUAGGGUCCACGUCAAGCUCCAGUACUUCGACAUCUCCAAGGACCACAGCUGGGGCCGCGGCGUCCGCAGCGGCAGGUACCCCGGCGUGCCCUACACCUUCUUCUCGCAGCGGCAGGGGUGCAGGGUCACGCUGUACCAGGACGCGCACGUCCCCGACGGCUUCGUCCCGAGGAUCCCGCUCGACGGUGGCCGGUGCUACGAGCCGCACCGGUGCUGGGAGGACAUCUUCGACGCCAUCUCCGGCGCCAGGCACCUCAUCUACAUCACCGGCUGGUCGGUGUACACGGAGAUCACGCUGGUGAGGGACGGCGCCCGGCCCAAGCCCGGCGGCGGCGUCACGCUCGGCGAGCUGCUCAAGAAGAAGGCCGGAGAGGGCGUCCGGGUGCUGAUGCUGGUCUGGGACGACCGCACCUCCGUCGGGGUGCUCAAGAAGGACGGCCUCAUGGCCACGCACGACGAGGAGACGAUGAACUACUUCCAGGGCACCGACGUGCACUGCGUGCUGUGCCCCCGGAACCCCGACGACUCCGGGAGCAUCGUGCAGGACCUGCAGAUCUCCACCAUGUUCACGCACCACCAGAAGAUCGUCGUCGUCGACCACGACAUGCCGGCGGCGGGGCAGAAGACGAAGCGGCGGCGGAUCGUGAGCUUCGUCGGCGGGCUGGACCUCUGCGACGGCCGCUACGACACGCCGCUCCACCCGCUGUUCGGGACGCUGGGCACGGCGCACCACGACGACUUCCACCAGCCCAACUUCGCGACGGCCGCCAUCGCCAAGGGCGGGCCCCGGGAGCCCUGGCACGACAUCCACUGCCGCCUCGAGGGCCCCGUGGCCUGGGACGUGCUCUACAACUUCGAGCAGCGCUGGCGCAAGCAGGGCGGCAAGGACCUCCUCCUCCAGCUCCGGGACCUCGCCGGCGACAUCAUCCCGCCGUCGCCCGUCACGUUCCCCGAGGACGCCGAGGCGUGGAGCGUGCAGCUGUUCCGGUCCAUCGACGGCGGCGCCGCCUUCGGGUUCCCCGACACCCCCGACGACGCCACCCGAGCCGGGCUCGUCAGCGGCAAGGACCAGAUCAUCGACCGGAGCAUCCAGGACGCCUACAUCCACGCCAUCCGCCGCGCCCGGAGCUUCAUCUACAUCGAGAACCAGUACUUCCUCGGCAGCUCCUACUGCUGGAAGCCCGACGGCAUCCGGCCCGAGGACAUCGGCGCCGCGCACCUCAUCCCCAAGGAGCUGUCCAUGAAGGUCGUGAGCAAGAUCGAGGCCGGCGAGCGCUUCGCCGUCUACGUCGUCGUGCCCAUGUGGCCGGAGGGCAUCCCGGAGAGCGGCUCCGUGCAGGCCAUCCUCGACUGGCAGCGGAGGACCAUGGAGAUGAUGUACGCCGACAUCGCGCAGGCCAUCCAGGCCAAGGGGAUCGAUGCCAACCCCAGGGACUACCUCACCUUCUUCUGCCUGGGCAACCGGGAGGCCAAGAAGCCCGGCGAGUACACGCCCACGGAGGAGGCGGAGCCCGACACCGACUACAUCAGAGCCCAGACGAACAGGAGGUUCAUGAUCUACGUCCACACCAAGAUGAUGAUCGUGGACGACGAGUACAUCAUCGUGGGGUCGGCGAACAUCAACCAGAGGUCCAUGGACGGCGCGCGGGACUCGGAGAUCGCCAUGGGCGCGUACCAGCCGCGGCACCUGGCGGCGGCGGGCCGGCCGGCGAGGGGGCAGGUGCACGGGUUCCGGAUGUCGCUGUGGUACGAGCACCUGGGCGCGGUGGACGACGCCUUCGCCCGGCCGGACAGCCUCGAGUGCGUGCGCAAGGUGAACGCCAUGGCGGACAGGUACUGGGACCUGUACGCCGCCGACGGGCCCGAGCGCGACCUACCGGGGCACCUGCUCACCUACCCCGUCGGGGUCGCCGCCGACGGCGCCGUCACGCAGCUGCCGGGGGUGGAGUUCUUCCCGGACACCCAGGCGCGGGUGCUGGGCGCCAAGUCUGACUACCUCCCGCCCAUCCUCACCACAUAGGCGCCUGCUCUGAUGUCUGAUCAGCCCUGCUCAUCUAGUUAUUACCUUUCAAAUCUUUUGUUCGGUUUUGCUCUGGAGAUCUUGCUGAUUAUUUUUUUUAAUUUGUUCGAAUAAUAAGAACGGCACUAGCUUUGGAUUUGUUUUUAGAAAAUAAAUAAAAGAUGCACUGAUGCAGUGUAAAUGAUAGGUGAUUUUAGGUGUGUCAUUAGUAGUAAUUUCUGAAAAGGGUUUUAAACAUCGUUGUCUGAUUGAUAAUGUUGUUCUUGUUUUUUUUUCCCUUUCCUGCGCGAUGGCUUGUAGAAUAACCAUGUCCAUUUGUAACCAGAUGGCUGACGAGAGUACCAGCUAAUGCACUCAUGUCAAAAGCGAAAAGGACAGAUGCACAA
RNA transcript from Panicum virgatum (switchgrass), 3192 nucleotides. It is a transcript of the gene named phospholipase D alpha 1-like, with no coding region annotated. Lineage: Eukaryota; Viridiplantae; Streptophyta; Magnoliopsida; Poales; Poaceae. The record is from RefSeq and is a predicted model, not a curated record. The transcript has 2 exons.